GUGUAGACCAGGCUGGCCUCGAACUCAGAUCCACCUGCCUCUGCCUCCCUAGUGCUGGGAUCAAAGGUGUGCACAACCACUGCCUGAUGUUGAUGCCUCUUCUUCUUCUUCUCCUUCUUCUUCUCCUUCUUCUUCUCCUUCUUCUUCUCCUUCUUCUUCUCCUUCUUCUUCUCCUUCUUCUUCUUCUUCUUUUUCGUUUUUUCUUUUUUUUUUUUUGAGCUGGGGACCGAACCCAGGGCCUUGCGCUUGCUAGGCAAGUGCUCUACCACUGAGCUAAAUCCCCAACCCCU
This 290-nucleotide long non-coding RNA is filed under the name Rattus norvegicus (Norway rat). RNAcentral's name for it is "long non-coding RNA NONRATT026292". The record is from RNAcentral. Lineage: Eukaryota; Metazoa; Chordata; Mammalia; Rodentia; Muridae.